GACGAACGCUGGCGGCGUGCUUAACACAUGCAAGUCGAGCGGAAAGGCCCUUCGGGGUACUCGAGCGGCGAACGGGUGAGUAACACGUGAGUAAUCUGCCCUUGGCUUUGGGAUAACGUACCGGAAACGGUGGCUAAUACCGGGAUACGACAACUGCGUGCAUGCGUCGGUUGUGGAAAGUUUUUUCGGCCAGGGAUGUGCUCGCGGCCUAUCAGCUUGUUGGUGGGGUAAUGGCCUACCAAGGCUUCGACGGGUAGCCGGCCUGAGAGGGUGACCGGCCACACUGGGACUGAGACACGGCCCAGACUCCUAGGGAGGCAGCAGUGGGGAAUAUUGGACAAGUGGGCGGAAGCCUGAUCCAGCAACG
This 367-nucleotide ribosomal RNA is filed under the name uncultured bacterium. RNAcentral describes it as "bacterial SSU rRNA". It matches the Rfam family "Bacterial small subunit ribosomal RNA", at positions 28 to 396 of the family's 1533-position model. The record is from RNAcentral.